GUUUUGGCAACACAUUCCAUCGUUUGCAAAAGACGCUCAAUCUUGUCUGGGGAACAAGAAUGUCGGGUAAUGAGUAGUGACUAUAAAAGCAAAUAUAAGUCUACUGCCCGUACAUUACAUUACAAUCCUUGUUCCAACCAGCAAAUUGAGUUGUCUUAUUUAUUUCAUUAAAAAGGUAAGUUAUAUAAUGUUAAUUUAAGUAAUUUAAUAAAAUAAAUUAAUUGCAAAUUAAAAGGAAAUAAUUCAAUAAAUAUAAUAAGUUUAAUUCGAGCAAUAUUUGAAAUAGAAAUAUAUUUGUUAUUGUCAAUUGAUAAUGUUAUCUGUUAUUAAUCUGUAUGAUUUAUGCACUGUAAUAUUUUACGAUCAAAAAGAAAAGAAACAUUACAUUACAUUACAAUCCUUGUUCCAACCAGCAAAUUGAGUUGUCUUAUUUAUUUCAUUAAAAAGGGUAAGAAGGCGCGAGUCCCACCCUCGCUGCCAAGCCAGUCCACAACAACGACAUGUAGUCCCCAGAUGUCCAGACAUCAUUCUACCUACAAGAACCGUAGAAGAACUGAGCAAACGAAAGGAAGCAAAUCAACACCAUGUUUUCAAUUUAGAAACCACCGAAGACAACCAUAAUACCAUCUUAACAAGUGACAUCCCAAGUCUAUCAUUACACAAAAAAAACAUAAAAUCCCGUCCACAACAAUAUGGUAGAGGACCCGAACCUUCUUUAUGACAACAAAGGAAAUGAUUCAAACGACCUUACCAGGUGGAGACAGAAAUUUAUCAACUAUGAGGAGACAAACAGUACCCUAAGCCAAUUCUUAAAAAUCUACCUAUGUGAUGUUAGGAACGAUACCAUACAGGUCAAUCGCCACUUGAAAAAUAGCUACUACAGAACCUCAAUUCAGUGAGCCCGAAUCUCAAAACAAUCCAUGACGAUUCAUACAAUUCUUACGGAAACAGAUACAAUUAGUUACUUAUGCACAAUUGUGUGACAACCCGAAGGAUCAAACUAGAACAGACUUUCAAACCACACACGAACAAUAUUAAUGUUUUCUAACAAUAGUUCCAAUAUUAUCUAUGGACAGUAAUUUAUAUUUCCAACGCGUAUUAUGUGGUAUUCACAUUGUAUGGUAAGACUGUUGCUUUUACUAUAUUUCCUCCUCUCUACUAAAACCAUAGUUUAAAAAUAUUUUUUUUAAUUUUAAAAAUGAAUUAAUAAAUAAAUUAUUUGUAUACAAAAAAAAGAUCAAAUUUUAAUACUUAUAAAUGAAACAAAAUGUAACAUGUCAUGCAUUUCGCAUAUAAAUGUAUUAUAUAACAAUUUUAACUAAAUUCGAGUAACUGACCACUUGAUUGCUCUCAUGAUUUAUAUCUGACAUAAAACAACAUAACAUUAUAUUCUUAAAAAUCGAUUGCUUAGUCUUUACCAAAAUAAAAAUCUGAAGGAACAGAUAUUUUUAGUAUUCGCAAAGUAUGAAGUCAUAGGUAAAAAUAAACAUGAACAUGAACAAUUACUUAAGGAGAUAUGGUUCAAAUAAAAGGUAUCUUGAACGAGGUCCUUUUUAAACAUCAAAAUGAGUGCAAUUGAUCGUAAUAUUAGGUUUCAAAUAUUUGGUUCCCCAUUAUAAACAAUGAGGGAAGAUAUUUCUUAUCGAGGGAAAAUGUCGACGAGACAAAAUCCCAACUAAAGAGCAAAAAUAAGAGCCCCAGGCCACUUGCUCAAAGGUACUAGUCUACUCGGGUAGGCAAAAUAAAUGAUUAAAUCACUCUAAAAAUGAUGCUUACAUGAUUGCAGCAUAUCCUUUUCGUUUUUGUUGUAGUUGUUCAAUAUAAAAGACUAUUAUUAAAAACUAAGUCGACAAGGAUAAUAUAUAUAAAUAUAUUAAAGAUAAGAUACAUUCAUAAUAAAAAAUAGAGAGUAAAUGAAACUAUAUAAAUUUAUAACAGAGAUCAUUAUAAUAGUAAAUAAUUUGUCAGACAAUUAAACAUGCGUUGGUAAAGUAAAGUAAGAUUGUCAGAGAUAAAAACAUAUGUUUUGAUAGUUAAUCAUCACUAUGUAUAUUUUUUUGGCACGCGAGAGCAAUCAAGAUAAGAUUUUUUCUAAACUGGCAGUUUGCCUUCAGAAACAGGUUGAGAUUUCUGAACAAUCUGUCAUAUAGACAUAUAAUUAGUUUAACUUUCAUAACAAAUCAGAAUAAUAAUAACCUACAUAUAAUUGAUAAAGAUUAUAUACUGUAUACAAUUCUAACACACAUAAAGGAGGGUAGAAAAAUUAAAGAAUUAAAAAUAAUAAAAAUAAAAACAAAAUCAAUGAAGUAAAAGAAAGAAAAAAAAGAAAAAAAAUAUAAAAAUAUAUAAAAUGGUGGAAUUCAUACAAUCAAGUCCGAUCUUCCUCUAUAUAUAUACAUAAGAAAGUAUUAAAACAUGUUCAAUAUAAACGUUAUAACAACCACGUUGAGUUAAAUUCUCUAUAGUUUAAAUGACAAAGAAAGAGAGAGAGAAUAUGUUAUUUCAUUCACUUGCAUAUGGAGUACAUAACUUGAAGACACAGAUCUCCAUAUGACUUAUUUUCGCGUGUUGGAGUACAUCCAAAGACAGAUCUCCAAUAUUUCGCAGGUGGACUUUUGUUCCACAGAAGAGGAUCGGCAUAAUAAUAUUAUUAUUUUUCAUUGUGCAUGCAUCAUAUAAUUUGUGUAUGUAUAUGUAUUUGUGUUUCAUUUAUUGCAAAAACAAUUCAGGAAAAAUUAAAUUAAUCACAAUUAAUAAGAUUCAAAGAUUAAAGUUAUAUUCAAAACAAUUUGCAAAAAAAAAAUGAAAUCAGGAGAUUUCAAACUUAACAAGGGGGUAAUGUUAUGAAAGGAUUUAGGACACUUUUAGAAAUAAUUAGAAAUUGAAAUAAAAUAGAUCUUAUUUAAACAAAAAUAUAGGUUUAUAGGAGAUAAAGAUAGUUCCAAGUAAAAGAUUAAUAUAAAGGUCAAAUGAUUCAUUGAUAUAGGAAAAUAAAGUAAGAAGAAAACACAUAAGAAGCUAGCGAAUAACAAGCAUUAUCUUAGAUGCAUGACAAGCAAAAUAGUACAAGUCAAGAACCUCAUUAGUUAUUUGGCACGCUUGUUUAGAAGGUUGCUAGGUCGACGGACAUAUGUAUGUCGAAUUGAUAUUACAUCCAAGGUUAUAACCAUAUUCACAGAAUGUGUAGAUACUACAGCAUCAUGAAUAUUCAGUAAUACAUUUAGGCACACAAGAUUGUAUUAAUAACCAAUCAAAAAGUUUAAGAUACGAAGAUUGACGUACACAAGAUAUUAAUUAAAAUUUAACAAAUCUUUAAUUAUCAAUUAUAAUAAAGAUCAGAAAUUGAAAUUCUUACAAAAAUAUUAUUUUAUUUAAUUUAAGAAAUAAAAGUCCAAAUGCUUUUCAAAAACAAAUAAAUACAUUUUGCAUAUUAUGAAGCAAUAAAUGUUUUGGCAACACAUUCCAUCUUUUACAAAAGACGCUCAAUCUUGUCUGGGGAACAGGAAUGUCGGGUAAUGAGUAGUGACUAUAAAAGCAAAUAUAAGUCUACUGCCCGUACAUUACAUUACAAUCCUUGUUCCAACCAGCAAAUUGAGUUGUCUUAUUUAUUUCAUUAAAAAGGUAAGCUAUAUAAUGUUAAUUAAAGUAAUUUAAUAAAAUAAAUUAAUUGAAAUUAAUAGGAAAUAAUUCAAUAAAUAUAAUAAGUUUAAUUCGAGCAAUAUUUGAAAUAGAAAUAUAUUUUUUAUUGUCAAUUGAUAAUGUUAUCUGUUAUUAAUCUGUAUGAUUUAUGCAUUGUAAUAUUUUACGAUCAAAAAGAAAAGAAACAUGACAUUACAUUACAUUACAAUCCUUGUUCCAACCAGCAAAUUGAGUUGUCUUAUUUAUUUCAUUAAAAAGGGUAAGAAGGCGCGAGUCCCACCCUCGCUGCCAAGCCAGUCCACAACAACGACAUGUAGUCCCCAGAUGUCCAGACAUCAUUCUACCUACAAGAAUCGUAGAAGAACUGAGCAAACGAGAGGAGGCAAAUCAACACCAUGUUGUUCAAUUUAGAAACCACCGAAGACAACCGUAAUAACAACAUUAACAAGUGACCUCCCUGGGAAGUUAACAUUACAACAACUAAAACAACAUAAAAUCCCCGUCACAACAGUCGACGAAGAACUUCCUUUCACAACUGAUGUCCCAAAAAUACCAUCACAACAAUAAUGUUAUGAAAGGAUUUAGGACACUUUUAGAAAUAAUUAGAAAUUGAAAUAAAAUAGAUCUUAUUUAAACAAAAAUAUAGGUUUAUAGGUAAUUAAGAUAGUUCCAAGUAAAAGAUUAUAUAAAGUCAAAUGAUUCAUUGAUAUAGGAAAAUAAAGUAAGAAGAAAACACAUAAAGAAGCUAGCGAAUAACAAGCAUUAUCUUAGAUGCAUGACAAGCAAAAUAGUACAAGUCAAGAACCUCAUUAGUUAUUUGGCACUUGUUUAGAAGGUUGCUAGGUCGACGGACAUAUGUAUGUUGAAUUGAUAUUACAUCCAAGGUUAUAACCAUAUUCACAGAAUGUGUAGAUACUACAGCAUCAUGAAUAUUCAGUAAAUACAUUUAGGCACACAAGAUUGUAUUAAUAACCAAUCAAAAGUUUAGAUACGAAGAUUGACGUACACAAGAUAUUAAUUAAAAUUUAACAAAUCUUUAAUUAUCAAUUAUAAUAAAGAUCAGAAAUUGAAAUUCUUACAAAAAAUAUUAUUUUAUUUAAUUUAAGAAAUAAAAGUCCAAAUGCUUUCAAAAACAAAUAAAUACAUUUUGCAUAUUAUGAAGCAAUAAAUGUUUUGGCAACACAUUCCAUCUUUUACAAAGACGCUCAAUCUUGUCUGGGGAACAGGAAUGUCGGGUAAUGAGUAGUGACUAUAAAAGCAAAUAUAAAGUCUACUGCCCGUACAUUACAUUACAAUCCUUGUUCCAACCAGCAAAUUGAGUUGUCUUAUUUAUUUCAUUAAAAAGGUAAGCUAUAUAAUGUUAAUUAAAGUAAUUUAAUAAAAUAAAUUAAUUGAAAAUUAAUAGGAAUAUAAUUCAAUAAAUAUAAUAAGUUUAAUUCGAGCAAUAUUUGAAAUAGAAAUAUAUUUGUUAUUGUCAAUUGAUAAUGUUAUCUGUUAUUAAUCUGUAUGAUUUAUGCACUGUAAUAUUUUACGAUCAAAAAGAAAAGAAACAUUACAUUACAUUACAAUCCUUGUUCCAACAAGCAAAUUGAGUUGUCUUAUUUAUUUCAUUAAAAAGGGUAAGAAGGCGCGAGUCCCACCCUCGCUGCCAAGCCAGUCCACAACAACGACAUGUAGUCCCCAGAUGUCCAGACAUCAUUCUACCUACAAGAACCGUAGAAGAACUGAGCAAACGAAAGGAAGCAAAUCAACACCAUGUUGUUCAAUUUAGAAACCACCGAAGACAACCAUAAUACCAUCUUAACAAGUGACCUCCCAAGUUAACAUUACAACAAAAAAAACAUAAAAUCCCCGUCACAACAGUCGACGAAGAA
This 5513-nucleotide long non-coding RNA is filed under the name Mytilus galloprovincialis (Mediterranean mussel). The record is from RNAcentral. Lineage: Eukaryota; Metazoa; Mollusca; Bivalvia; Mytilida; Mytilidae.